AAAAUAUAUUAUUAACAAUUAAAAAAAGUAAAAGAAUAAAUGAAAAAAUAAAUAGGAAAAAAUAGACGGUAGGUUCGAUAUCUCUUCUUAUUAUAAGUCUUUACUCAUCUAAAUAAAUAAAAAAGAAAUAGAAAGAUCGUGUUUUCGACUCUCUUGUGAUUCUGAAGCAUUAGAUUGAUAUAUGAUGUCUCCCUCGUGAUUCUGAAGCAUUAGUUUCAUUAGUGCUUUC
RNAcentral lists this long non-coding RNA (229 nucleotides) under Lathyrus oleraceus (garden pea). RNAcentral's name for it is "Pisum sativum (pea) long non-coding RNA (PSAT_LNC011358)". The record is from RNAcentral. Lineage: Eukaryota; Viridiplantae; Streptophyta; Magnoliopsida; Fabales; Fabaceae.